CCCUCCCAUCUGAGAGAGCUGGACCUGACCUACAAUCAUCCAGGAGACUCAGGAGUGAAGCUACUGUCAGCGGGACUGGAAGAUCCAAACUGGAGACUGGACACUCUCAGGGUGGAGCCUGCUGGAGUCAGAUAUUUGACACCAGGUCCAUGGAGAUAUUCCUGUGAAC
Sander lucioperca (pikeperch) is the source of this 169-nucleotide long non-coding RNA. RefSeq lists it as uncharacterized. The transcript is spliced from 3 exons. The record is from RefSeq and is a predicted model, not a curated record. NCBI's taxonomy places the organism in Eukaryota, Metazoa, Chordata, Actinopteri, Perciformes, Percidae.